RNAcentral lists this ribosomal RNA (301 nucleotides) under uncultured bacterium. Its description in RNAcentral is "partial 16S ribosomal RNA". It matches the Rfam family "Bacterial small subunit ribosomal RNA", at positions 509 to 809 of the family's 1533-position model. The record is from RNAcentral.
CAGUAGCCGCGGUAAUACGAAGGGGGCUAGCGUUGUUCGGAUUUACUGGGCGUAAAGCGCACGUAGGCGGAUCGAUCAGUCAGGGGUGAAAUCCCAGAGCUCAACUCUGGAACUGCCUUUGAUACUGUCGAUCUGGAGUAUGGAAGAGGUGAGUGGAAUUCCGAGUGUAGAGGUGAAAUUCGUAGAUAUUCGGAAGAACACCAGUGGCGAAGGCGGCUCACUGGACUGGUAUUGACGCUGAGGUGCGAAAGCGUGGGGAGCAAACAGGAUUAGAUACCCGUGUAGUCCCUGUCUCUUAUAA